UCUGGUUGAUCCUGCCAGAAGUCAUAUGCUUGUCUCAAAGAUUAAGCCAUGCAUGUCUAAGUAAAAACGAUUUUUACUGUGAAACUGCGAAUGGCUCAUUAAAUCAGUUAUAGUUUCUUUGAUAUUAUCUUACUACUUGGAUAACCGUGGUAAUUCUAGAGCUAAUACAUGCCAAAACGUCCGACUUUUGAAGGAUGGUAUAUAUUAGAUACAAAACCAAUCAUGGGGUUUUCCCCGUGCUUUGUGAUGAUUCAUAAUAUCUUUACGAAUCGCAUGACCUUGAGUCGGCGAUAAAUCAUUCAAAUUUCUGCCCUAUCAACUUUUGAUGGUAGUGUAUUGGACUACCAUGGUUAUAACGGGUAACGGAGGAUUAGGGUUUGAUUCCGGAGAGGGAGCCUGAGAAACGGCUACCACAUCCAAGGAAGGCAGCAGGCGCGCAAAUUACCCAAUCUCGACACGAGGAGGUAGUGACAAUAAAUAACAAUGCAGGGCUUUUUAAGUCUUGCAAUUGGAAUGAGUACAAUUUAAAAUCCUUAACGAGGAACAAUUGGAGGGCAAGUCUGGUGCCAGCAGCCGCGGUAAUUCCAGCUCCAAUAGCGUAUAUUUAUGUUGUUGCAGUUGAAACGCUCGUAGUUGGAUUUCAGGAUGGAACGACUGGUCUGCCACUUUGUGGUGUGUACCGGUUUGUCUGUUCUUUUAUUUGAGGAUGCAUUCUGUCCUUUAUUGGAUGGUUUGUGGACUCAAAUCUUUUACUUUGAAAAAAUUAGAGUGUUUAAAGCAGGCGUUAUGCCUUGAAUACAUUAGCAUGGAAUAAUGAAAUAGGACUUUGGUUCUAUUUUGUUGGUUUCUAGAACUAAAGUAAUGAUUAAUAGGGGCAGUUGGGGGCAUUAAUAUUUAAUUGUCAGAGGUGAAAUUCUUGGAUUUAUGAAAGAUUAACUACUGCGAAAGCAUUUGUCAAGGAUGUUUUCAUUAAUCAAGAACGAAAGCGUGGGGAUCGAAGAUGAUCAGAUACCGUCGUAGUCCACGCCCGAACCGAUGCCAUCUAGGAAUUGGUGAAUGUUCAUUUAUGACUUCAUCAGCGUCUUCCGAGAAAUCAAAGAUUUUGGGUUCUGGGGGGAGUAUGGUCGCAAGGCUGAAACUUAAAGGAAUUGACGGAAGGGCACCACCAGGAUUGGAGCCUGCGGCUUAAUUUGACCCAACACGGGAAAACUUACCAGGUCCAGACAUAGUAAGGAUUGACAGAUUGAGAGCUCUUUCUUGAUUCUAUGCGUGGUGGUGCAUGGCCGUUCUUAGUUGGUGGAUUGAUUUGUCUGCUUAAUUGCGAUAACGAACGAGACCUUAACCUACUAAAUAGCUACGCGAACCCUAGGUUCGUGGCCAGCUUCUUAGAGGGACUAUAUAAGACAAUUAUAUGGAAGUUUGAGGCAAUAACAGGUCUGUGAUGCCCUUAGAUGUUCUGGGCCGCACGCGCGCUACACUGACGAAUUCAACAAGUUUUAACCUUGACCGAUAGGUCUGGGUAAUCUUUUAAAAGUUCGUCGUGCUGGGGAUUGACAAUUGCAAUUUUUUGUCAUGAACGAGGAAUUCCUAGUAAGCGCGAGUCAUCAGCUCGCGUUGAUUACGUCCCUGCCCUUUGUACACACCGCCCGUCGCUCCUACCGAUUGGAUGGUCCGGUGAAGUCUUCGGACCAUUGCGAGCAACUGGUUCGCCAGUAGCUCUGUAGUGGGAAGUUGAUUUAACCUUAUCAUCUAGAGGAAGGAAAAGUCGUAACAAGGUU
RNAcentral lists this ribosomal RNA (1778 nucleotides) under metagenome. RNAcentral's name for it is "SSU rRNA". It matches the Rfam family "Eukaryotic small subunit ribosomal RNA". The record is from RNAcentral.